Long non-coding RNA from Scatophagus argus, 3070 nucleotides. RefSeq lists it as uncharacterized. The transcript is spliced from 2 exons. The record is from RefSeq and is a predicted model, not a curated record. Lineage: Eukaryota; Metazoa; Chordata; Actinopteri; Scatophagidae.
GAGAGAGAGAGAGAGAGAGAUGGGGGGGGGGUGCAUGCAUGUGAGAAUGCGUAUGCUUGUUUACCUAUGUAGAAGCACGGAAGGAGAGAGCGACACAGACAGACAGAGAGCGAGGGAGGGCGAGACAGAGAAAGAGAAGAGAUUUGUAAGCCACUUGUAUUUGCAAACUACUGGCUGAGGUCCCACUAGAGCCUGGAAGAUCAGAGUGAAAGACAUGCGUGUCAGGAGUGUGUAUCCGCCAGUGUGUGUGUGGGGAGAGAGAGAGAGAGAGAGAGAGAGAGAGAGAGAGAGAGAGAGAGAGAGAGAGCCUAGGAGAGACAGAGAGACAGGCAGACAGACAGAGAAAGGAGCCCAUUCAACACAUUUCAGCAGCAACUUUUCAGCCUGUCUACAUGAGGCUUAUCCACAAAUAUGGAAGAUUUUUGCUCUCUUGUGUUUGAUUUUUUCUUUUCUACCAUCAAGUCACCACAGAUUCAUGCCGCCGAACUUUUGGCCACACUUUAGGCUGAUGGUAAAAGAAGCACAGGCUCAACUGGAGACAGAUGAGAGUUUUGUUGGUAGUUUUGAAGAAGGUGAUGAUCGUGACAACCAUAAUGGCAUUCACCACGUCUGCAGGGCUAUUUAGGGAAACCAAAACGUUUGCAUCACCGCCUCUCCUCGCUCCUGCCGGCUUCUCAUCAUCAUCACUUGAACCUCCUCGACAUGGGUGGCAACACAUGUCGGCAUGGAGCUGCUUCGCACAGGCCAAGAGAAACAAGGCAACACACACACAGAUACACACACAGAAUUGUGAUACUCACGACACAAAACUAUUUCUAGCUUGUCUUUUCGGGAUGGUGACUGGAAUUAUAAAGUUAGCAUUUUACGUUGUUCGAACCAUCUGUGGACAGCUGAUAUAGUAGGUUUACAAAAAUUAAAAUAUAUAUGUUUGGAUUUGAAUUUCAAAUAUAUGUGUGGGUUGGGUGGGAACCAAAAAGGAAAGGGACAGGCGAUCGUUUCUGUGAUUUUCCACUUGUCUGAGUCAAACUGCAGCGACAAAGACUGGCUGAAGAUGAAUGAAAAUAAACAGGGUAGUUUAAUUUUUGGUACUUGUAUAGUACAUGCUGAUUUUCUCUGACAAGUCAAAUAGCUGCUAUCAAUCAAACCAACCAAUGGCGAGACACACAGUCCUUCCUGGUGCCUACGGUGAACAUUCAACGCUGUCGGUGAGUUUGAACUCUAACCAAAACCAUCGACCGUUGACUGUACCCUGAGGGACGCCAAAGCGCACAUGCACAUGAUCUUCUGGAAUCCAUAUAUUAUGAGGUAUUUCGGUUUUGCCGUCAUCCAGAGCAAAAUGCAGAACUACAGUCUGUGGGUGGACUACGAAUCAAACCCGUGACCUUGAUUUAGCUGACACCACAUCAGCUGUGACGCUGGAGGUGCUCACUCUUAAGGCUGCAAUAAACAUUCAUUGCUGUCGGUGGGUUUACAUGAGAAUAACUCACUGAUCAAUGAAUGCAGACUGCGGUUCAAACUCCUCAAUAACCAGUCGGCCAUGGGGUGGGACAAGAGCCACCCACAUGUACCCAGAGGUAAAGCAAAGUUUUCCAUGGACUGUGUGUAAUGCACCGAUGUACAGGAUAUCUUAGUACGGACGUUGUUUUUAUUAUUUUAUUUUAUUUUUUAAUGUAGCCUGUUUCGAAGAUGUUUUAACACUUGACACAUCCAACUUUCACAAGUCCCCACUGCAGGACUAAUAAAGGCCUAUCUUAUCUUAUCUUAAUAUGAUACCGAGCAACUUGAGCUGGCUAGGGAGCCAAACAAUCUCAACAUCUAAUGAUAAUAUCAAGGAAGAAAAAGGAAAAGCCAAACAACCUUCACUGGACCAGACAGUGGUCGACAAAGUACAGCCAACAACAACCCCAUCCUCUUCAGCAAUACCGCUAGGACAAUAACAUUCAAUAAUGACGUCAACAUUUCUUCAAUCAGUAGUAAACGCUGAGUCACUGGGUGUAAUCCUGUAUGGAUGGUCAAAAUGAGACUGAAUAGUUGAGAGCAGCCCAUUUAGCCCAGCGAUUGCAGUUUACAGGUUUUGCAGCUGGUAAGACAGAAGACAAUAAAACAAUGCAUUUGGCGAUUUGAUUUGAUUUGGGCUUGGCUGGCUGGUUGUUUAGCUAUAUCGGGGAUGCCCUUUGUUGAAACCACUGACGUAUAUAAAGAUGGAAGAUAUGUCUCCACUUUCUCUCACAGUACAAGAGAGAAAAUAUCCUGGAUACAAGGACUGCCAUCUUGCACUGAUGUCAUUUAGCUCCAGGGUCUGUGCAGUAGUUAUCAGACAGUUGAACCAUGGUAUCAAGUUCUCACCAAUAGUGAGCAGAUCUCAAUUGUCAAUCAUGAUAUUUCACUCCCAUUAUGUAUAUGUACCAAAUGAGUAAUUAAAUAAUGAACCACCUAAAAUGACAAAAAACAUCUUUGCAAAAAAUGUAUUUGAUAUGUACUUUGAGUUUUUAGUUUGGUCCAUGUCCCAUCUCCUAACACGAAGGGGAGUUGACCUAUUGGAUCCAGCCACCAGGAGGUGAUCAAAAUGAUUUGGCUUCCCUUUAAGGGAGCUGUCGUGUCAUCCAUCUUUAUAUACAGUCAAUGGUACAUAUUCAACAUAUUCAACUUUUCAUUAAGCGGAUGUGAUCAAAGGUUGACAUUCAUCCAUCUAUCCAUGAUCCAUUUUCUACACUGCUUAUCCAGUUAGAGUUGCGAGGGGACUGGAGCGUAUCCCAGCUGACAACGGGUACACCCUGGACUGGUCGCCACUCAAUCAAAAGGGCCGACACACAAAGACAGACACACACACACACACUCAGGGACAAUGUAGAAUAGCCAACAAACCUAACCAAUGUUUUUGGGAUUGUGGGAGGAACCCCGAGUACCCAGAAGAAAUCCCCACAGGCACAGGGAGAACAUGCAAACAGCGCACAAAAGGGCCCAGACCCAGAUUCGACCUGGAACCAUCUUGCUGUCAGGUGACAGUGCUAACCACUGCACCACUGUGCUGCCUCAAAGGUUGACAUGAUGGAAUAAAUGUUUGAAAUGA